GUCCACGCUGUAAACGAUGUCAACUAGCCGUUGGGUCUCCUUGGAGACAUAGUGGCGCAGCUAACGCAUUAAGUUGACCGCCUGGGGAGUACGGCCGCAAGGUUAAAACUCAAAUGAAUUGACGGGGGCCCGCACAAGCGGUGGAGCAUGUGGUUUAAUUCGAUGCAACGCGAAGAACCUUACCUACCCUUGACAUCCAGAGAAUCUGUUAGAGAUAGUAGAGUGCCUUCGGGAACUCUGAGACAGGUGCUGCAUGGCUGUCGU
Molecule: ribosomal RNA, 264 nt
Filed under: uncultured bacterium
Lineage: Bacteria
Description: partial 16S ribosomal RNA
Rfam family: Bacterial small subunit ribosomal RNA
Source: RNAcentral